This 393-nucleotide ribosomal RNA is filed under the name uncultured bacterium. RNAcentral's name for it is "partial 16S ribosomal RNA". It matches the Rfam family "Bacterial small subunit ribosomal RNA", at positions 523 to 918 of the family's 1533-position model. The record is from RNAcentral.
AUACGGAGGAUGCGAGCGUUAUCCGGAUUUAUUGGGUUUAAAGGGUGCGUAGGCGGGAUUUUAAGUCAGCGGUGAAACGCAAGGGCUCAACCCUUGACCUGCCGUUGAAACUGGAGUUCUUGAAUGCGGAUGCUGUGGGAGGAAUGUGUGGUGUAGCGGUGAAAUGCAUAGAUAUCACACAGAACACCGAUUGCGAAGGCAUCUCACAAAUCCGUGAUUGACGCUGAGGCACGAAAGUGUGGGGAUCAAACAGGAUUAGAUACCCUGGUAGUCCACACUGUAAACGAUGAUAACUCGCUGUCGGCGAUACACAGUCGGUGGCCAAGCGAAAGCGAUAAGUUAUCCACCUGGGGAGUACGACCGCAAGGUUGAAACUCAAAGGAAUUGACGGGG